This 251-nucleotide ribosomal RNA is filed under the name uncultured prokaryote. Its description in RNAcentral is "partial 16S rRNA". It matches the Rfam family "Bacterial small subunit ribosomal RNA", at positions 525 to 775 of the family's 1533-position model. The record is from RNAcentral.
ACGGAGGAUGCAAGCGUUAUCCGGAUUCAUUGGGUUUAAAGGGUGCGCAGGCGGAUUGGUAAGUCAGGGGUGAAAUCCCACAGCUCAACUGUGGAACUGCCUUUGAUACUGUCAGUCUAGAGUAUAGUUGAAGUUGGCGGAAUGUGUCAUGUAGCGGUGAAAUGCUUAGAUAUGACACAGAACACCGAUGGCGAAGGCAGCUAACUGGGCUAUAACUGACGCUCAGGCACGAAAGCGUGGGGAGCGAACAG